Molecule: ribosomal RNA, 492 nt
Filed under: uncultured bacterium
Lineage: Bacteria
Description: partial 16S ribosomal RNA
Rfam family: Bacterial small subunit ribosomal RNA
Source: RNAcentral
AGUGAACGCUGGCGGUAUGCCUAACACAUGCAAGUCGAACGGCAGCACAGUAAGAGCUUUCUCUUACGGUUGGCGAGUGGCGGACGGGUGAGGAAUACAUCGGAAUCUACUUUUUCGUGGGUGAUAACGUAGGGAAACUUACGCUAAUACCGCAUACGACCUACGGGUGAAAGCAAUGGAUCUUCGGACCUUGCGCGAUUGAAUGAGCCGGUGUCGGAUUAGCUAGUUGGCGGGGUAAGGGCCCACCAAGGCGACGAUCCGUAGCCGGUCUGAGAGGAUGAUCAGCCACACUGGAACUGAGACACGGUCCAGACUCCUACGGGAGGCAGCAGUGGGGAAUCUUGGACAAUGGGCGCAAGCCUGAUCCAGCAAUACCACGUGGGUGAAGAAGGCCUUCGGGUUGUAAAGCCCUUUUGUUGGGAAAGAAAAGCAGCAGGUUAAUACCCCGCCGUUUUGACGGUACCCAAAGAAUAAGCACCGGCUAACUUCGUG